RNAcentral lists this long non-coding RNA (265 nucleotides) under Salvia miltiorrhiza (redroot sage). RNAcentral's name for it is "long non-coding RNA (SMIL_LNC014057)". Lineage: Eukaryota; Viridiplantae; Streptophyta; Magnoliopsida; Lamiales; Lamiaceae. The record is from RNAcentral.
UUCUUGAUAGAGGAAUCAGAAACCUUCCCCUUCUUGGAAGCCCCUUUCGGACGCCCACGACCGCGAAUUAUGGGGGGAUCCUCCAUUGUCGCCUUUCCUGGCGUCACAGUCAAAGCCAUGUCUGUAUUACUACAAUGCAGAGUGACAAUAUCAACCUGUGUAUCUGACACUAUAGUAGUUUCCACCGGAUGUCGGGUAGUGUCAUUCAUCACCGGAACAAUCUCCAUACCAACAGACUUGUCCGCCCUGUUAUCACCAACCGAGU